This 492-nucleotide ribosomal RNA is filed under the name uncultured bacterium. RNAcentral's name for it is "partial 16S ribosomal RNA". It matches the Rfam family "Bacterial small subunit ribosomal RNA", at positions 29 to 507 of the family's 1533-position model. The record is from RNAcentral.
AUUGAACGCUGGCGGCAUGCUUUACACAUGCAAGUCGAACGGUAACAGGCCUUCGGGUGCUGACGAGUGGCGAACGGGUGAGUAAUGCAUCGGAACGUACCCAGAGGUGGGGGAUAACGCAGCGAAAGCUGUGCUAAUACAGCAUGUGAUCUGAGGAUGAAAGCGGGGGACCGAGCAGCAAUGUUUGGCCUCGCGCCUUUGGAGCGGCCGAUGUCGGAUUAGCUAGUUGGUGGGGUAAAGGCCUACCAAGGCGACGAUCCGUAGCUGGUCUGAGAGGACGACCAGCCACACUGGGACUGAGACACGGCCCAGACUCCUACGGGAGGCAGCAGUGGGGAAUUUUGGACAAUGGGCGCAAGCCUGAUCCAGCAAUGCCGCGUGCGGGAAGAAGGCCUUCGGGUUGUAAACCGCUUUUGGCAGGAACGAAACGGUGUCCGCUAAUACCGGGCGCUAAUGACGGUACCUGCAGAAUAAGCACCGGCUAACUACGUG